RNAcentral lists this ribosomal RNA (479 nucleotides) under Listeria monocytogenes. Its description in RNAcentral is "bacterial SSU rRNA". It matches the Rfam family "Bacterial small subunit ribosomal RNA", at positions 32 to 492 of the family's 1533-position model. Lineage: Bacteria; Bacillati; Bacillota; Bacilli; Caryophanales; Listeriaceae. The record is from RNAcentral.
AACGCUGGCGGCGUGCCUAAUACAUGCAAGUCGAACGAACGGAGGAAGAGCUUGCUCUUCCAAWGUUAGUGGCGGACGGGUGAGUAACACGUGGGCAACCUGCCUGUAAGUUGGGGAUAACUCCGGGAAACCGGGGCUAAUACCGAAUGAUAARRUGUGGCGCAUGCCACGCYUUUGAAAGAUGGUUUCGGCUAUCGCUUACAGAUGGGCCCGCGGUGCAUUAGCUAGUUGGUAGGGUAAUGGCCUACCAAGGCAACGAUGCAUAGCCGACCUGAGAGGGUGAUCGGCCACACUGGGACUGAGACACGGCCCAGACUCCUACGGGAGGCAGCAGUAGGGAAUCUUCCGCAAUGGACGAAAGUCUGACGGAGCAACGCCGCGUGUAUGAAGAAGGUUUUCGGAUCGUAAAGUACUGUUGUUAGAGAAGAACAAGGAUAAGAGUAACUGCUUGUCCCUUGACGGUAUCUAACCAGAAAGCC